This is a long non-coding RNA of Spinacia oleracea (spinach), 1143 nucleotides long. RefSeq lists it as uncharacterized. NCBI's taxonomy places the organism in Eukaryota, Viridiplantae, Streptophyta, Magnoliopsida, Caryophyllales, Amaranthaceae. The record is from RefSeq and is a predicted model, not a curated record. The transcript has 4 exons.
GAUUUUUCCCCCUCUAUCUCUCUAAACACUGCGCUCUUCAUUUUUCUUCAAAUUUUCUUCAAAUUUGUCGCAAGUUUAGCUUCAAUUUGGGAGGUUGUCUAGAUUUUGUAGCAAAUUUUGGGAUCCAUAGAGAUGAUGCGAGCAACAAUUUGAGAGUUUUUAAGCUUGAAUUCAUCAGUAUUGUUGUAUAAUUUGGAUUCCUUCUAAAGUUUCUUAAUGAGAGAGUUCAUCAACUUUUUCUGCGAAACUCCCGAAGUAAAGUUCUGCUUCUGUUAGACCUUUAUUUCUCUUGGGAUGGAAGCAUGUAUAGAGAACUAAGGACAGAGGAGGGAAAACUGGGAGAUGAAUGCAACUGAAUAAUAAGGUAUGGUUGAACAUAUUACUCCACAUGUAAGUGUAAAAUACACUCGCUUCUAGUUUUGCAGAGAAAUUCAAAUCUGAAUCAAGUAAGCUAAUAUCUCUUAAAAGAAACUAAGUUCCUUUUAAAUUAAACUAAAUCUAUAAGGAUGACUUGUUUUGGUGGUUGUUUUGGCAACUUGAAGUUUACAAUGUUUGAUUAAGGCCCUGAGUUCUUUUCUAUCAGAUUGGUGUGUAUGAAAUCAUGUAUUCUUUUCUCUUAUUUUAAAAAGUAGAUCAAUAUGAUAAAAGUAAAUAGAUUAAGCUGAGAAGUAAACUAAAUCUAUAUAGAAGUUUCUGCAUGUUAAUAUCAAACUAGCUUGAUUCAGUCUGUUCUGGUUCUGGUUCUUGUUUGGAAUCAUUAGCUUCAGUAGAUAGCUCAGACGGUGAUGGUUCUACGUCAGUAAAUGCAGGGAUAUUUGGUUGCAUGGGUUUCUUGAAUUGAACCAGAAUCAUUGUCAUGUUGUCGCAACCUUCACACUAGCAGUUGAAGGGGCCAAACACCUGUCCGUUACUCUCUCACUCAACGCAGAGCGUUUAGUUUCCUGCAAUGUUCAUCAUAACAAAUUACUCAUGAACAUCCACACAUUAACGAAUUGCCAUCAAAAUCCAAAGAACAAAAAGCUGUACUUUCAUCUUGGCAUUGAAUGAAAUUAAGAAAAGUAUUAUGCUUAAAGUUCCAAAGGAUGUAGCUUCUAUUUUAUAUUUAACUUGAAUUUUGGAGAAUACAUCAAUUUGAAUACAAUU